GAACGAUGGGGGGGAAGCAAGUGUGGAAAGAAAAGGGCUCGGAAAGAGAGAUGCCAGUAAUUGUAAUAUCCUGAGAUUCGCCGAGCCCCGAAGUCUCUCCAUUGAAGGCCCCUCACAGGAUUUGCCGCCGCCUCUCCGCAGGAAACAUACAAUCUGAUCAAGUUCAGAAGCGCGUUGAGAAGAAGGAGAAGAAGAAGAAGAAGGGAAGGGGGGAGUGCUUCAAACAGCGCUUUUAUAAAAUACAGUCCCCUUUUCACGUCCUCCCCCCACACCCAACACCAACCCUCAGAAAGGGGGGGGGAGACUUCACAUUCUUUAUUUUAGGGGUCUGGCUAAAAGGAGACAGAAUGAGCGACCUGAAGACAGACUCAGACAGGAGGGAUUGUUUUUCUACAUAUAUAUUGUUUUUCUACACACAUACAUACAUACACCCACCCACCUAUAAAACUUAGUCACUGGAGUUCACAUCCUACCAAUCCCCAAAGCCCCCCUCCCUCCAGAGCAGCCCAGGAAGAAACAAGGACCAGAAAAGAGGAACAGAUGGAAGGCAUUGUCUCACAAGGAUGCUAGUGUUUUCUGGAUUAUUUCUCCAUGCCAGCUCAGAGUUAUCUGCACUGACUGGCAGCAACUACCCAGGGCUUCGGACAGUAGACUUCUCAACCAUACCUGGAGAUACUGUGAGUUCAGCCUGGAACCUCCUGCAUGCAACCUAUGCAGUCUACUGCAGAGCUAUGUCCCACUCCCAAUUUCUUCAUCAAGAUUUCUGAUUUAUGGUUUCUAAGGUCUUUGGUGUUGACUAACGAUGGCUGCCAUGUCUUGUUUUCAUCUUGCAAGAUUUCCAGAUAUUGGCCUGGAUAGAGUUACCCCCAAUAAAUGAUAGAUUUCAUCUGGGGAAAUUCUACCUCUGGCACCAUACCCUAAAGAAUAUCAUUUUCUGCAAUUGCCUCUGUACUAUGGAAUGCCCUCCUUCCCUCUGCCAUAUGUGUAGCAGGCAUCCAUCAUUUGCUUUGGACAUCUUGUAAAGAGAUAUCUUUUUUGCCCAGGCUUUCUCUGAUCCUGUUUUUAUCUGUCUGGAUUCCCCGAAUUCCUGUUUUUAUUUGCUUUUGUAUGCUUUAUGCUACUGUUUUACUGGUUUUAUAUUGCAUUUCUGUUUUAAUGAUAUGGUUUAUUGUCUUAUGUUGUAAACCACAUGGAGAUUUCUUAAAAUAUUAAGUGGUUUUACAAAUGCUUUUAAAUAAAUUAGAUGGAGCGAUGAUACAUAGACAUUUAGGGAGUUAGUUGUUUCCUUGCGGUUUAAUGGUAACUUUUUAUGUUGUUUUAUAAUAGCGGUUCAUUGAACUGCUUUCUUGCGCAUUGCCUGGAGCAGCUGAAUUUGCCUUAUGUUUAUCUACAAAUAAAUGAUUUUGCUAAAUAAAAUUGCAAAGCACCCUCGCAAGGGCAGAUUCUGCUGACCUCCACCCAGCUGUAUUCUCUGCAGUGGAGAGGACAGUUUGUUUUUCUAUGAUAUGAAAACUGAGAAUCAUGAGCAGCCAAUCACACAUCUACGACUGCAAUGGGAAGAACACAAAACAGAGCCUGCAAAACUUUGAAAGGGCGGUUUAAGGUGCUUUUGGUCAUCCAGACAAAGAUGACCCACUGCGCUUCCUUGCUCAAAGCCAGAGCUUCUGUUAAUACUAUUAGAGCCAAAGUUUCGGAUUUCAGAUGAGGCAUGUUGGCAAUUACAGAUGCCCUUGAGAAUGUGGGUCAAGUAUUCAGGGCUCCAGUUUCAUGGUCAAGGGGAUCACAAGAGACAGAGACCUAAGAAGAACAGGAAGAUCUCUUCAAUGACCAAAUAUCUACACAGAGGGCAAGGAAAACGAUGAUGGAGGAGAAACAACAUAUUUAAACUUGGCUUCUGGUCUGGCAAAUGGGACACAUCUCUAUUAAACAAGAUUACACACAACUUGCUGGACCAGGCCAAGGUGGGUGGGUGCAGACCAGCUAUGACAUGUUCCUGGUCUAAGCCAUCUUGGUGGGAUUUAUCUCCUGGGAGGUGGGAUGUGGAGGAUUGUACUGAAUACAUAAAUGAACAGAGCUUGCUUCCCACAGUAGCCAACCAAAUUCCUCUGUGAUGCUUUCAAGCAGGGCAGUGGAAUGUAUGAAUCAGUUGAUUUCAGUUUCUCCCUGUUUUCAUGCUUUCCCACCUUAACUUUGUAAUAAGAAUUGUAAGGUCUUAUAUAUAUAAUAAAUGUUCAUAAAUGUACCAAGCAAACAUGUACAUAAAUAUAUAAACCACAUUUCUGAAGAAGCACAGGAAAACAGGCAUUAUCAGAUAACCUGGCAGACAGGAAAAACAACAACAUUCAAAUUUCUGUUGUAGACCGCCU
Molecule: long non-coding RNA, 2366 nt
Organism: Podarcis muralis (Common wall lizard)
Lineage: Eukaryota; Metazoa; Chordata; Lepidosauria; Squamata; Lacertidae
Source: RefSeq, a predicted model, not a curated record